RNAcentral lists this transfer RNA (93 nucleotides) under Ophiophagus hannah (king cobra). It matches the Rfam family "tRNA". From Rfam's summary of the family: Transfer RNA (tRNA) molecules are approximately 80 nucleotides in length. Their secondary structure includes four short double-helical elements and three loops (D, anti-codon, and T loops). Further hydrogen bonds mediate the characteristic L-shaped molecular structure. tRNAs have two regions of fundamental functional importance: the anti-codon, which is responsible for specific mRNA codon recognition, and the 3' end, to which the tRNAs corresponding amino acid is attached (by aminoacyl-tRNA synthetases). tRNAs cope with the degeneracy of the genetic code in two manners: having more than one tRNA (with a specific anti-codon) for a particular amino acid; and 'wobble' base-pairing, i.e. permitting non-standard base-pairing at the 3rd anti-codon position. Lineage: Eukaryota; Metazoa; Chordata; Lepidosauria; Squamata; Elapidae. The record is from Rfam by way of RNAcentral.
CCUUCGAUAGCUCAGCUGGUAGAGCGGAGGACUGUAGAGGGCUUCCUAGAGUCAGUCAUCCUUAGGUCGCUGGUUCGAUUCCGGCUCGAAGGA